GGGCCCGCACAAGCGGUGGAGCAUGUGGUUUAAUUCGAUGCAACGCGAAGAACCUUACCAGGGUUUGACAUAGUACGAAGUUUUUUGAAAAAAAACCACCUUCGGGAACGUACAUACAGGUGGUGCAUGGCUGUCGUCAGCUCGUGUCGUGAGAUGUUGGGUUAAGUCCCGUAACUAGCAUAACCCCUGUUUUUAGUUGCCUUUAAUGGAACUCUAAAAUACUGCCGGUUAUAAAUCGGAGGAAGGAGGGGACGACGUCAAGUCAGCAUGCCCCUUACACCCUGGGCUACACACUUGUUACAUUGGGGAAUACAGACGGACGCUAAGCCGCGAGGUGGUGCUAAUCCUAGAAAGUUCUUCGUAGUCCGGAUUGGAGUCUGCAACUCGACUCCAUGAAGUCGGAAUC
RNAcentral lists this ribosomal RNA (406 nucleotides) under uncultured bacterium. RNAcentral's name for it is "bacterial SSU rRNA". It matches the Rfam family "Bacterial small subunit ribosomal RNA", at positions 917 to 1333 of the family's 1533-position model. The record is from RNAcentral.